RNAcentral lists this ribosomal RNA (431 nucleotides) under uncultured bacterium. Its description in RNAcentral is "bacterial SSU rRNA". It matches the Rfam family "Bacterial small subunit ribosomal RNA", at positions 354 to 776 of the family's 1533-position model. The record is from RNAcentral.
GUGAGGAAUAUUGGGCAAUGGGCGCAAGCCUGACCCAGCCACGCCGCGUGUGUGAUGAAGGCCUUCGGGUCGUAAAGCACUGUGGGGAGGGACGAAAAACCUCCGUUCGAAUAGGGCGGAGACUUGACGGUACCUCCUUAGCAAGCACCGGCUAACUCUGUGCCAGCAGCCGCGGUAAUACAGAGGGUGCGAACGUUGCUCGGAUUUACUGGGCGUAAAGCGCGUGUAGGCGGACUCGCAAGUCGGUUGUGAAAUCCCUGGGCUCAACCUAGGAACUGCAUCCGAAACUGCUUGUCUUGAGUAAUGGAGAGGGUGGCGGAAUUCCCGGUGUAGAGGUGAAAUUCGUAGAUAUCGGGAGGAACAUCAGUGGCGAAGGCGGCCACCUGGACAUUUACUGACGCUGAGACGCGAAAGCGUGGGGAGCAAACAGG